AAGGAUCAUUAUUGAUUUUAUCUAUUUCUGUGGAUUUCUAUUCUAUUACAGCGUCAUUUUAUCUCAAUUAUAACUAUCAACAACGGAUCUCUUGGCUCUCACAUCGAUGAAGAACGCAGCGAACCGCGAUAUUUUUUGUGACUUGCAGAUGUGAAUCAUCAAUCUUUGAACGCACAUUGCGCGGUAUGGCAUUCCGUACCGCACGGAUGGAGGAGCGUGUUCCCUCUGGGAUCGCAUUGCUUUCUUGAAAUGGAUUUUUUUAAACUCUCAAUUAUUACGUCAUUUCACCUCCUUCAUCCGAGAUUACCCGCUGAACUUAAGCAUAUCAAUAAGCGGAGGAAAAGAAACCAACAGGGAUUGCCUCAGUAACGGCGAGUGAAGCGGCAAAAGCUCAAAUUUGAAACCCUCGGGAUUGUAAUUUGAAGAUUUGGCAUUGGAGAAAGCUAACCCAAGUUGCUUGGAAUAGUACGUCAUAGAGGGUGACAACCCCGUCUGGCUAACCGUUCUCCAUGUAUUGCCUUAUCAAAGAGUCGAGUUGUUUGGGAAUGCAGCUCAAAGUGGGUGGUAAACUCCAUCUAAAGCUAAAUACUGGUGAGAGACCGAUAGCGAACAAGUACUGUGAAGGAAAGGUGAAAAGAACUUUGAAAAGAGAGUGAAAUAGUAUGUGAAAUUGUUGAUAGGGAAGGAAAUGAGUGGAGAGUGGCCGAGGUUUCAGCCGCCCCUCGUGGGCGGUGUACUGCCGACGCCGAGUCAUCGAUAGCGAGACGAGGGUUACAAAUGGGAGCGCCUUCGGGCGUUCUCCCCUAACCCUCCACACUGCCACCGACGACAUAAUCCACCCAUUUCACCCGUCUU
RNAcentral lists this small RNA (855 nucleotides) under Yarrowia lipolytica. Its description in RNAcentral is "eukaryotic LSU rRNA". The stretch from base 284 to 855 matches the Rfam family "Eukaryotic large subunit ribosomal RNA", at positions 1 to 655 of the family's 3401-position model. Lineage: Eukaryota; Fungi; Ascomycota; Dipodascomycetes; Dipodascales. The record is from RNAcentral.